Molecule: small RNA, 31 nt
Filed under: Bombyx mori (domestic silkworm)
Lineage: Eukaryota; Metazoa; Arthropoda; Insecta; Lepidoptera; Bombycidae
Description: ovarian small RNA-20052
Source: RNAcentral
UACAACAUCAGCCUCCGGUUCAUCCGGGUCA